RNAcentral lists this ribosomal RNA (447 nucleotides) under uncultured bacterium. Its description in RNAcentral is "partial 16S ribosomal RNA". It matches the Rfam family "Bacterial small subunit ribosomal RNA", at positions 29 to 523 of the family's 1533-position model. The record is from RNAcentral.
AGCGAACGCUGGCGGUAGGCUUAACACGCGCAAGUCGAACGCCCCGCAAGGGGAGUGGCAGACGGGUGAGUAACACGUGGGAACGUACCCUUUGGUUCGGAAUAACUUGGGGAAACUCAAGCUAAUACCGGAUAAGCCCUUAUGGGCAAAGGUUUACUGCCGAAGGAUCGGCCCGCGUCUGAUUAGCUAGUUGGUGAGGUAAUGGCUCACCAAGGCGACGAUCAGUAGCUGGUCUGAGAGGAUGAUCAGCCAAACUGGGACUGAGACACGGCCCAGAGUCAUACGGGCGGCAGCAGUGGGGAAUAUUGGACAAUGGGGGCAAACCUGAUCCAGCCAUGCCGCGUGAGUGAUGAAGGCCUUAGGGUUGUAAAGCUCUUUUACCCGGGACGAUAAUGACUGUACCGGGAGAAUAAGCCCCGGCUAACUUCGUGCCAGCCGCCGCGGUAA